UGACGGCCGUACCAUGCUGAAUAUACCGGUUCUCGUUAGAUCACCGAAGUUAAGCAUCAUUGGGCGCGGUCAGUACUUGGGAGGGUGACCACCUGGGAACACUGCGUGCCGUU
Molecule: ribosomal RNA, 113 nt
Filed under: Caerostris darwini
Lineage: Eukaryota; Metazoa; Arthropoda; Arachnida; Araneae; Araneidae
Source: RNAcentral